AUAGAAGUGAGAAUGCUGGGAUGAGUAACGUAAAACAGGUGAAAACCCUGUUCGCUGAAUAUCUAAGGUUUCCAUGGCUAUGGCAGUCAUCCAUGGGUUAGUCGGUCCUAAGGUGAGGCUGAAAAGCAUACCCGAUGGACAACAGGUUAAUAUUCCUGUACUACUAAUACUUUAUGUAUGGAGUUAGAAAAUUGUGAAAGCAAGCCCCUUAAUGGUUUGGGGUGCAAGCAACAAGAGAGUCUCUUCAGGGAAAUCCGGAGAGAUGUUUCCAUUUUUUUAAUGGAUGGACACGAGUUGUUAUGCAAAGGUGACCUUCGGGAACCCGAUUUGUUGUAGUAAUUUUCCUGGAAAAUCUUCUAUCGUCUGAGACUUCGGUCUUUGACAAAAGUAUUUGUAACCGUACCGCAAACCGACACUGGUGGAUAGGUGUAAAUGCACCAAAGCGUACGAGUGAUGCGUUGUUAAGGAACUCGGCAAAUUUACCUCGUAAGUUCGCGAGAAGAGGGACUUUCCAUUAUGAGUUUAUAUUUGUAAUGAUGAAAGUCGCAGAGAAUAGGGAGGGGCGACUAGUUACCAAAACUACAGGCGCUUGCAAACUCGUAAGAGGAUGUAUAAGUGCUGACGUCUGCCCAAUGCCAGAAGGUUAAGGCGACUUGUUAAUCGUCUGCUAGAUACACUUCGGUGUUCUAGUGGUGGUGAAGCUUGUCUCUGAAGCCCUGGUCAAUGGCGGCUGUAACUAUAACGGUCCUAAGGUAGCGUAAUACCUCGUCACUUAAUUAGUGACUUGCAUGAAAGACGUAACGACCCUUCCACUGUCUCGACAGCGCGCUCGGUGAAAUUGAAAUGGCUGUGAAGAUGCGGCCUACCCAUACCAGGACAAAAAGACCCCGUGGAGCUUUACUGCAGCUUUGCAUUGGAAUAAGUUUUCGGAUGUAUAGAAUAUGUGGGAGACUUUGAAAUCAUCUCGUUAGGGAUGGUGGAGUCGACAGUGUAAUACCACUCUUUUGGGAAUUUGUUUCUAACAGUAUCCAUUAUCUGGAUUCUAGACAGUGCAUGGUGGGCAGUUUGACUGGGGCGGUUGCUUGCUAAAGAGUACCGCAAGCGCACAAAGGUCUCCUCAACCCGGAUGGAAAUCGGGUGAAGAGUGCAUAGGCAUAAGGAGGCUUUACUGUGAGGAGGACACUCCGAUCAGUUACGAAAGUAGGUUUAAGUGAUCCUUUGAUUGCGUGUGGAAGCGUCAUUGCUUAACGGAGAUAAGCUACCCCGGGGAUAACAGGCUAGUCUUGCCCGAUAGUUCAUAUUGACGGCAAGGUUCGGCACCUCGAUGUCGGCUCGUCGCAUCCUGGGGGUGAACAAGCCCCCAAGGGUUGGACUGUUCGUCCAUUAAAGCGGUACGCGAGCUGGGUUCAGACCGUCGUGAGACAGGUCGGUCUCUAU
Molecule: ribosomal RNA, 1437 nt
Filed under: bioreactor sludge metagenome
Description: bacterial LSU rRNA
Rfam family: Bacterial large subunit ribosomal RNA
Source: RNAcentral